This 253-nucleotide ribosomal RNA is filed under the name uncultured bacterium. RNAcentral's name for it is "partial 16S ribosomal RNA". It matches the Rfam family "Bacterial small subunit ribosomal RNA", at positions 524 to 776 of the family's 1533-position model. The record is from RNAcentral.
UACGUAGGGUGCGAGCGUUAAUCGGAAUUACUGGGCGUAAAGCGUGCGCAGGCGGCUUUGCAAGACAGAUGUGAAAUCCCCGGGCUCAACCUGGGAACUGCAUUUGUGACUGCAAGGCUAGAGUACGGCAGAGGGGGAUGGAAUUCCGCGUGUAGCAGUGAAAUGCGUAGAUAUGCGGAGGAAUACCAAUGGCGAAGGCAAUCCCCUGGGCCUGUACUGACGCUCAUGCACGAAAGCGUGGGGAGCAAACAGG